RNAcentral lists this transfer RNA (72 nucleotides) under Camelus bactrianus (Bactrian camel). It matches the Rfam family "tRNA". Rfam says of the family: Transfer RNA (tRNA) molecules are approximately 80 nucleotides in length. Their secondary structure includes four short double-helical elements and three loops (D, anti-codon, and T loops). The record is from Rfam by way of RNAcentral. RNAcentral also lists the same sequence under 1 other name. Lineage: Eukaryota; Metazoa; Chordata; Mammalia; Artiodactyla; Camelidae.
GAGGGUGUAGCUCAGUGGCAGAGCGCAUGCUUAGCAUGCAUGAAGUCCUGGGUUCAAUCCCCAAUGCCCCCA